AGUGAACGCUGGCGGUAGGCCUAACACAUGCAAGUCGAACGGCAGCACAGUAAGAGCUUGCUCUUACGGGUGGCGAGUGGCGGACGGGUGAGGAAUACAUCGGAAUCUACUUUUUCGUGGGGGAUAACGUAGGGAAACUUACGCUAAUACCGCAUACACCUACGGGUGAAAGCAGGGGAUCUUCGGACCUUGCGCGAUUGAAUGAGCCGAUGUCGGAUUAGCUAGUUGGCGGGGUAAAGGCCCACCAAGGCGACGAUCCGUAGCUGGUCUGAGAGGAUGAUCAGCCACACUGGAACUGAGACACGGUCCAGACUCCUACGGGAGGCAGCAGUGGGGAAUAUUGGACAAUGGGCGCAAGCCUGAUCCAGCCAUACCGCGUGGGUGAAGAAGGCCUUCGGGUUGUAAAGCCCUUUUGUUGGGAAAGAAAAGCAGCAGGUUAAUACCCCGCUGUUCUGACGGUACCCAAAGAAUAAGCACCGGCUAACUUCGUG
RNAcentral lists this ribosomal RNA (491 nucleotides) under uncultured bacterium. Its description in RNAcentral is "partial 16S ribosomal RNA". It matches the Rfam family "Bacterial small subunit ribosomal RNA", at positions 29 to 507 of the family's 1533-position model. The record is from RNAcentral.